Non-coding RNA from Rattus norvegicus (Norway rat), 9950 nucleotides. The record is from RefSeq and is a predicted model, not a curated record. NCBI's taxonomy places the organism in Eukaryota, Metazoa, Chordata, Mammalia, Rodentia, Muridae.
CAGCCUUAGUAGCACCAGUAUCCUGCAGAGGAGCUCAAGGAUCUGAAAAUGUACAUAACUUGAGACUUGAAGAACCAUUGGUGGAGACCGAGGAGUUCCAAGUGCAGAUGAUGUCCUAUGCAGCAGGAUGAGCCAGCAGAUGACAGGCAACAUGACACUUGCUCAAUCGAAAGCGAGUGCUUGUCACAAGGAUUCUGGAUGGUGUUUUCUUCUCCUCUGGAAGAUACAAAGAAACUCUACCAUUCAGCUCUUCCAAGGCUUCAGGCAUCUGCAUGGAAGGCACAGCAAGAGGAGAGACAGUGUCAGUGCAUCCACUGCUCCACCACAGUCUGCUUUCUCAUUAGGAAAACAAAAGGCCUCCCAGGAAUUCUGAGACCUGCAAAGAAGGAGGUAGAAACAGCUUUCAAAUGACUCAAAAGCGUUUUUAAAAAAAUCUAUUGAGUGAGUUCUCAUGUGAAGUUCAUAGAACACUCACUUCUUAGUUUGAAAAUUGGUAUUUGAGGGGUUGGGGAUUUAGCUCAGUGGUAGAGCGCUUGCCUAGGAAGCGCAAGGCCCUGGGUUCGGUCCCCAGCUCCGAAAAAAAGAACCAAAAAAAAGAAAAUUGGUAUUUGAGGAGCAAAUUAAACAUCCAAACUUCGUAAAAUCUUCCUAAAAAUAUAUCUUAAGGAAACCAAAUAGGUCCAAAUGAUGACUGUUUUCCUGUAUAGAAGACUCUUAAUUAAGAAUAUGGAAAGCAAUACAGAAUCAGAAAAGCCCACAUUCUGUAAUUCCUAUUAAAUUUAGCAAUUUAGUUACUAUGUUGAAUUCUAAUUAAAAUGUUUAGCUGUUGGGACCUAAGAAAGUCACAUAGGACCAAAAGUAACAGCGCAGAGAUUGCUGUCUUGUUGCUGAUGGGGAAAGAGGGGCUAAGGGUUCAGUGAAAGCUCAGACUGGACCAACAAGCUCAUCAGGUAAAGGAACUUGCUACCAAGCUUGGUGACUUGAGUGUGAUCUCUGGAAUCAGGUCCAAAGGACAGAACUCCUCCAAAAGUUAUCCACUGAUGCCACACAGUGCACAGUGGAAUUCAUGUGCACAAGUGCACACACACACACACACACACACACACACACACACACACACACACACAGAGGAAAGAGAGGGGAGGCGUGAAUAAACAUAAUAUAUUUUGCAAAGGCUCAAAUGUCACAGUACCUAAGAAUGAAUCUUAGCAUCCAGUCAGUGUUGCAGAACAGAAGGCAGAAGCAGGCCAAGUCUUCAGCAAGCUAGCAUGUUUCUAAGAAUGUGGGUCCUGAGGCAAAACAAGGUUUGGAACCAGGGUGUGUCCAAACAAAUGGACCAUAAAAGGAUUUUUUGAGGACUUGAUUGAGACAUUUGCACUUGGACCAGAAUUAUUGUUAAUGUUGGCAUUCAUUCUACACUCCACUGAGCCAAGCUCCCUGGGCAAGCCAUCCCCAAAUAGGACUUGGAAGUGCCAUUUCCACAUCUAGCUACUAGGAUAAAGAGUCCCACCUCUAAAUCCCCUGCCUGUGAGUUCAGAGCAUUCCAGGGGUAUCUGAAAAGAUCUUCCCAGUACAGGCCCAAUACCUCUGAGACAUUCUCAUGCUCUUCCUACCCCAGCUUUAAUCUCCUUGAUGGUGACCUGGGCCCUUGAAAACAAAAGUAAAAAGUUCUUAAGAAGCUGUGGCUUUUUGUUUAGCUUCUGGUUCUUAGUGGCUUUGAUGAAAAGCUGAAUUAUAGGAAAAAAGAUUUUGCACAUUAAUUUGGGAUCAUAGAAUUCACAUCCAACAAACUGGCGAGACUGGACUCAGAGCUGGAGAGGGGAGACCCAGAUGGAACUUGAGAACUGUCCAAAGCUACAUCCCAUUUCCCUUUGCAACUGCAAGAGCGGGAGAGACCGAUUUCUGAGUUGUGCUGAUUUGUCCUAUACUAGGCUUGGUAAUGAGAAAGCACAGUGCCUCCGUUUGUAGCCUCAAACUCCAGGCUCUCCUAUCUCAGUUCCCCAUGCAUCAGGAAGGCAUGUAUGCGCUGCCACAGCGCUAGCAGGAACAGGAAGCUUUCUGUGUUCUGUUAUCUUCUUCAUGGGCUGAGGCUGAGCCUGGAGUCUCCAUGUCAGUAGCAUCUUUCAAGGCUGUUCCUCUGCAGCUCUGCAAAAUUUUUUUAAAAUACAAACCAAGUUUAUUUUGCCUUUUAAGUAGUGUUCAUAUAGCGCUACAGCUAGGUAAACAAUAUGAAUUAGUAUACGUCAUCUCAAAAGCCAGAGUCUUAUUAUCAUUGUUGUUGUUUUUUAAUGGGUUGUGAAAAAGAUGCAGCCUAUUCUAACAGGAUAAAUAUUUUUUAACCAUUUCACUUUGAGUUAAUGAAGGCUCAUAAAUGAGCAACACUCCUCAUUGAGGAAAACAGAAAGCUACAGCUCACACACACCAGCAAAAAGAACUGUGUAAAAAUAACUAACUGUUCCCUUAUUAAACAUUAACCACUGGGGAGAUGCCUGGGGAGGUUCACUGUCAGAAUAUUUAAGCACUUGGGCACCCUCUAGAGGAACAUCUUGAAAACCUUCAAAACUUCAUUUGGAGAGGUUCACUGUCAGAAUAUUCAAGCACUUGGGCACCCUCUAGAGGAACAACUUGAAAACUUUCAAAACUUCAUUUGGAAAUAAGAAAAAUCUGAUUUUACCUAAGCUAUGAAAUUUUAAGCUCAGAAGUACCACUUGGACAUUUUUAUUUGGAAACCUCUCCAGAAGGUGUCUUGCUCUAAAGCACCCAUGAAAUGGGCGCAGCCACUGUCUUUGCUACUGUUCCAGUCUUUUCUGUACAGCAACACAGGGACAAUCAUCUCCAGUUUCUGAACUGCAGUAAACUGUAAGCACUGCUACAGUGUGGGACAGCUAGCUUUCCUCCAGUUCUUAGGGAUAGCAUUCUUAACAUUUGAAUGCCUGUAGCAUCGCUCAUCUUUGUCCCUUCUUCCUCCCUCCUUCCUGUCCUUCUAUUUGUCUGUGCUAGACAAGGUUCUGCCAUUAGACUGUCACCCCACAUCUGAGUUUCUUUUCAUAGGAUUAAGUCACCAAAUCAUAUAAGGUGACAUCCCCUGAGAUGACAGCUUGUUUCCAUGUGUUCCUUAUGGCUGUUCUUUUGAGAAAGGCUCUCAAUGCACAGCCCAGACUUAACACAACCUAGAGAUCCACCUGCUUCUGACUCCCAGACCACAUCACUUUCAUCUGAAAUGAGAUUAAAAGCUCAAGUUUCAACUUUUGUCCCCAGUCCUGGGAGCUUUCUCUCUUGAAGAUGCUCUGAUAAUUUAGUGGGCCAGCGUUGAUUGGAAUCAGUUUGACUUUGGGUUGGUAAAAAUUUUCACUGAGUUCAUGGACUUCAUUUCUUUUCUUUGAGUCUCUGGGAACCUGGUUCUUAUUUUGGUCUUCAGGGCCCAAGAGUCCAGAGAUUAGAAAUAUACCAAAGGUGAAGAUUCUAGUAAGAAACCUUGUCCCAUAAACUCAGGCCUUAAAGAGAACAAACGCUAAGGAUGACUUAGAAGUAAAGGCAAUGUAUUUUUACACUCUGUUCAUGGGGAGAAUAAAAAUCAGUAAGAUAGACGGAAAGAGGACACUAAAGAAAACAAAGACCUGCCCAUGAGACCUUACAGGUAUCUGUUGGUUGGGGUUUUCUGUGAGCUUGUAGCCCCAAUAUCAUCUCACCUGGAUGUUCUACUAACAUCAUGCCUGGUUGAGUUUACAGUUGUUUAAGAUCAGACAUAGUACCAGUGUCAUAGUCAAUGUUCUAUUGCUAUGAAGAGACACCGUGACCAUGACAACUCUUACAGAGGAAAAUUUUUAAUUGGGACUGGCUUAACAUUUUCAGGGGUCUAGUCUAUUAUUGUCACGGGGUAGGGGGUUGGGAACACAGGAAGCCAUGGUACUAGAGAGAUAGCUGAGAUUUCUACAUUCCAAUCAGCAGGCAGCAGGAAGGGAGCAAAGGCAUUGGGCCUAGCUUGACCAUUGUUAGAUUCUCUUUUUGAUCACCAAGAAACAAAUAGAUUUAGGUCUGUGGAGAUUUCCAGGCAAAUGUGGUGAUUAGGCCCUGUAAUUGUAACAACUUGGAGACAGAAAAUAAGUCAUGGUGAAGACCAACUUCAGCCCAGAGUGAGACCCUGUCUCAAAAAAAAAAAACCCACAAAGAAAAACAAACAAAGAAGAGCCUGAAGAAAUGUACCACACCUUGAUUACAUAACCUUCUGGAUACCCUGAGAGAUUACUGGGGUCAGGCUAGUUGGACAAUAAAUCUUAACAGUGAACAGCACUGAUCAAUCAAUAGGUCUUGACAGUAUAUAAAGAGAAAGGGGGUGGAGCAUAAGUAUUCAUUGCUGUCUGCAUUCUUAGAGAGGAUAAUAUGUAGACAGCUGCUCAACCUGCCAUGGUGGACGAUGGCCUCCAAUUGUUGGCCAACAUACACCACUUCAUUAAGUUGAUUCACAGGCAUGUGAUUUAGUAAUGGGGAAGGAACUCAUGUGGUAGGACAUCUACAAAUCCGUGUGAACAGGCAGGCAUGUUAAAAAUAGGGAAAGGGUCCAGAGGAAGCUUCAUAAACAAGAAAAUCUCCAAAUUGCAGUCUUUAAGUAUACUGUAUGUACAACACCAACAUUAACAUGUAAAACAUAUCCAGAUUUCAAGGAGAGACAUUCUAGUCAUGGUGGCACAUGUGUGUAAUCCCGACACUGGGAAGAUGAAGCAGGAGGAUCUCUGUGAGUUUAGGUCAGCCAGGACUACAUAAGCUGGGAAGUGGAGUGGAGAUCUAUGAUUGCAAGGAGUGUUGUAGUCUAGAAGCCAGGAGAGGCAAUUUGAACAGACGGUAGGUUUACUUCAUUACUAUAGCAACUAGGACUCUGCUUCAUUGAUUCUAGUCUUAGGGAAGAAGAAAAAUAAGAUCCUGCAUAUAGGUUCCACUUUUGAGCCAAGAUUCUGGAGCCAUGGCAGUUUGGGAAUCUUUUAGGGAAGUAUGAUCUCAAUCAAUGAUUCUCAGCCUCCCUAAUCCUGUAACACUAAUAUAUUUUCUCAUGGCUUUGUGACUCUUAACCAUUACUUCAUUUUGCUUCUCUUCAUAAUUCAAAUUUUGCUCCUGAUUUGAUUAUAAAGAAAAAUGGAUGGAAUAUCUGAUAUGGAAAAUAUAUGUGACCCCGUAUUGAUUAUGACCCACAACUUGAGAAACACUGGUCUAAACUGCUAAUUUUAAACAAAAAUGUUUUUCAAGUACUUUCUACAAUGUACAUUGACCAUUACUAUUUUUGUUUUAUUUUUAAUAAAAAAAGGAUUUUAUUAUUAAAAUCGAUGGAAGCUUAUUAACCUUGGAUUUUUAUGAAAAUUGGCUUAGCAUCCCAGAUGGAACUCUGGCUGGAAAAAUUAAUGGCAUUCAAAGGUAAUGAUACAGUAAACACUUGGGGAACUGCACCAAUAUAGAAGCAAUGCUUUUGUAAGGUACAUAGGCUUAUGUUUACAGGAUUAUAAACUGGAAUGAUGUUCUAUGCCAAGAGGUUUCCUUAGGUCAGACAUGUUUUGUCACUUUUUUGACAUUCCCAUUUCUCAAGCUAGCAUGUUGAACCAUGUCUGUAAUCUUACCUGGGAGCCUUCUCCUUUAUAAAUGUCAUGAUUUAGAAGACAGUCUAUGCAACACCGCAUGUUCAGGUCAGUUUAGAGUAUUGGUUUAGUUCCUGUGUGAGACAAAUUAAAAGAAGUAAGUAUGUAUAAUACCUGUGGGUUACUUGCAUCCUAGAAUUGUUACCAUGGUAUUGUGAAUAGUUCACAUGGUCAAUAUGUGUCAUUGAUUAGAACAGGAAUCUCUUACUGAAUUCUUCUUUCUCAACUGUAACUACCUAGAGACGUCUAGAUCAGGUAUACCUUUGACUUUUUUGAAUCAUUUUUCUGUGUGAUACAUAGAAUGAUUUCAUACUUAACCAGAGCUUUGAACUCCCAUUGCAACCCAGGAGCCCUCCAUUUCUGUCUUGCUGUAGCAAAGCUUUUAUAAUUGCAUUUUGUAGGGUCACAAGUGUGCUUUCGGCUCCUUAUGUUCUAGAGUGUCACAAGAGUGUUACAUGGAUUCAUACUACAUUAGAUAUUAAAUGUGUCUCCAUUCCAUUGUGGUUGGAAAGAUGGUUUGCUGUUUAAUAACACUGGAUGUUUUCAUACACAGAACACACAUGGUUUUCAAAAAUCUUCAUUCAUUCUAAUACCAGGGCAUUGAGUAGAUUCAUGAGUGUGAUUUUGUUCCUUAUGUUCUAGAUUGUUAUAAGGGUGUGUCAUCGAUUCAUAAUACAUUAGAUAUUAAAUGUGUCCCCAUGGUGGCAAGAAAAAUGGUUUGCUGUUUGAUAACACUGGAUGUUUUCACACACAGAACAUACAUGGUUUGCAACAAUAUUCAUUCAUUCUGUUACCAAGGAUCCUGACAUGUUCUUCUGGCUUCUGUAGGUAGCAGUCAUACAUCUAGGACACUGAAAUUUAUAAAUAAUUUGAAAAAUGUUUUUUCCGUGAUUCUGUACAGAAAAGUGAUUUGCAGAAAAUAUUUUAUGUAAUACUCUAGCUAUAUAUUCUUACUUCUUUUGAAUUCUGAUUAUACUGUGAGUUGGACUACAAAACAUUUACCCUAUUUGUUCUUUGUAGUUAGAUUUCUAACUUACAUUGUUUUCAAGAUGGUCUAACCUAAAAUUCUCCUUUUUCUUUGUUUAGCCUUUUGCAACAGAUCCCAGAACCAAACUUUAUACUAUUAAAACAUCUCAUAUGUGCAUUAGUAAUAAUAAAAGAUUCUUCCAUGAAUAAUUUAGACAGUUACAAGUUAUCUCUGCGCAUAGCUCCACAUGUACUGUGGGGUCAGACUUCGAGAGAUUCAUUAUUUGGGAGUGACGUCUUUUUUUUUUCAGGGGAAGGAAAGGGUUUAUUUAUCUUAUACUUCCAUUUCAUAUUUCAUCACUGAGGGAAGCCCAAGGCAAGAAACUUGAGGUAAAAACUGAAGAAGAGGCCACGGAGGAAAAAUGUCUGCUGGCAUCUUCUGAUUCUGGUCAGCUAGCUUCCUUAUAAAAGUCAGGACCCCUGCCCAGGCAUACCUCUGUCCACAAUGGGUUAACCCUUCCUCUAGCAAUUAGCACAUAAGAACACGAUCUCCUGACAUACCAAUGGACCAAACUGACUGCAGUCAUUCCUCAACUGAAGCUCCCUCUUCUUCCAGAUGUGUCAAGUUGAUAACCAAGCGUAGCUAUCACAAUUGCCCAGCUUUCAACUCCACUCAUUCUCUGGAGCUCCACGAAGAAAACCUAGGGUUUAUUAUUUUCUUCCCUCAGAUCAUAUUUCUUCUAACUCUUGGGAGUGACGUCUUAAGAAAGAUGUCUCUUAUACAAAUUAUGAUUGACAACUAUGAUCAAAUAUUUGGAAAUGAUGAUAUAUUUAGUAAACACACUGACAAAAGGUCUGAAGACUUAAAGACAUAAAAAGAAUCAAUAAAUUAUUCUAGAAAUUCUCCUAUUAUGACAAAGCCAUAGCUGGCCACAACUGGAAAACCAAUGAUAUUGAUGAAAAAUUUAAUAUUUCAUAUGCUGCACUGCAGGAAGAAGGUCCUACAGAGAAACAGAAAGGCUAUAUAUAUACAUACCAAGCCACCAGUUUAUUCUGAUCCAACACCACCAAGAAAAAAAUGCUUAUUUGGCAAAAAUCUUACAAGCAUUUAUGUCGACAGAAAGCUGCCUGCUCCAAAACUUGUAUCAUUUUGGCUUUCUAUAGCACCUUUCUCCUCAGUAAGCUAUUUAAUCAAACUGAGGAAUGUUCAGAUAACCGAUCUAUGAGAGUAAGAUCAUUUUAAAACAGAAAUAAGUUCUACUGUAUUUUGAAUAAUGUAAUUGAAAGAAAAAGAGAAGAAAUACCAUUCCCAUGUUUUGCACUGACUGCAUCAAAGAUUCAAACCCACCAGUAUGUUGGAGAAAAUAAUUCUAUGCAAGUGCCCCACUAAUUACCCAACUGUAAAGUCUUGCAGCUUCUUUAUGACUCCACAUAUCUCUAGAAUCUCCCUUAAUAUCAUUGCCUCUGAAAUUACUCAAUACUUAAAAAUAUCUGUAGGCUUUUCCUUUAAAUGAUCAAUGAAUUAGAUGAAAACACUGGUUUUUUUAUAUAUAUAUUGACAUCAUUUAUCCUAGUGGACUAUAUUUAAAUGCCAUCUAAUAUGGCUUAAUCUUUUUUAAAUGAGUGAUUAAACUACUUUGGAAACAUAUCUUUAGUAUCCAACAUCUCUUUUAGCACUAUAGCUGUGAUAGGAAUUUAUGCUGUUUGUGAAGAAAUUUAUCCUGUCUGACACAUGAGCAUUACUGCCAAUUUCUUAGGUAUUUUAGAGAAGAAUUUUCUGGUAACCUUGUUUGUAUUCGUGUAAUCAAUUUAAAGUGGAGUAAACCCAUGCAUGGUAGUCAUGUUUACAGAGUAAAUUAUGGAAGAAUGAUAGAAAUAUGCUUGGUUUUUUAAAUGUGAAAGCAUCUGUAGACAUAGUUGAAAUUAAGAAGUCACAGAAUAAGGAUAUAAAAGUCUCAGAAAUAUGGUGAAAAAAUAUUUCUUCAAAACACAAAAGUUAGGAUUCAUAAUACAUGCCAGGACAAACAGUAAGUAAAAUAGUGAGUUGAUCUCUGGAAGGGAAAUGUCCCAACAUUUACUUAAGAUGCCAGGCUUGAGAAAGAUAUUGAUAGAAGGAAACACAAAGUAAUAGAGGCCUAUUCACCACAAUGCUUUGGGAAACAGAAGUCCCAACAAAACCAUGAUGUUACAAAUUGGGGAAAAAUGGAUUAGGGAAGAAAAUGUAUUUGGAAGCUAAAACAGAAAAAAAGUUCAAUGACUACUUUAUUCCUCUCAGUUAUAGCUGUGCAUCCAAAACUGUCCUUGCUUAGGUUCACAAUAAAAGACAUAUUUGUGCUUCAGGUGUGGAGCUCUAAUACUACAUCCUUAUCCCACACAGGAUAUGUUAUCCAUAAUUUCAGGUAAAGGACGAGAAUCAGAUCACAUAUUUGAAAUUCUACCUGAAAAUUCACAUUGGUGCCUCAGAGAGAGGAAUGACAGUGAACAACUCAUUGAAUGGAUUAAAGAAUUCAUGCUUGUAAUACCAUCUGUCAUGAAGGGUCUCUCUCAUUCCCUGAGCUGAAUUGGGACACUUGGGUUGUCCUUCUACCCAGGCACAUCAACUCUCUUCAGGUUUAGCACAUCUUCUCCCCCUAAGGCCAGGACUUCAUUGCAAACAUUGAAGGAAGUUUACUUACUUCUGACUUACAUGAGAAUUGACUUAGCGUCCCAGAUGAAGGAACUCUGGUUGGAAAAAUUAAUGCCAUCCAAAGACUUCUACUGUAGAUUCCUCAGGCAAACUUUCUCCUUCUAAAGCAUCUCAUUUGCGUAUUAGUAAUAAUAAGAGACUCAUCCACGAAUAAUUUAGACACUCACAGGUUAUCUAUCCGGAUAGCUCCUUAUGUUUUGUGGGAUCAGACUACAAAGGACGCAUGGUUUGGGAGUGAUGUAUCAAGAAAGAUGUCCAUUAUACAAAUCAUGAUCGACAACUAUCAUCAAAUAUUUGGAAAUGAUGAUAUAUUUAAUAAACAUAUUGACAGAAGAUCUGAGGAUUUAAAGACUUGUGCAGAUUCAAUAAACUCUUCUGGCAAAUCACCUAUUAUGAAAGAAUUCCUAGCUGACCACAACAAGAAAACAUGCGAUAAUAGUGAAAAAUUAAAAAUUUCAUCCGUUGCUCUGCAGGAGAAUGGUCCUACAGGACAGAACAGAACAACUACCACAUAUAAGUGGUAGAAGAUGACUGAAGACAUUAUAAGGUCAUUCUAUUUUAAUGUUCCCUUCUACCUUCCACUUAAUCAUAGCAGAACAAUUAUUACAACAUCCUGUUUCAGCAUUCAUAUGCUAUCAUAAUAAAUGUUAAAAUAAAUAAAAGUGUUAUUGCUUACA